RNAcentral lists this long non-coding RNA (340 nucleotides) under Brachypodium distachyon (stiff brome). RNAcentral's name for it is "long non-coding RNA (BDIS_LNC001391)". Lineage: Eukaryota; Viridiplantae; Streptophyta; Magnoliopsida; Poales; Poaceae. The record is from RNAcentral.
CCAAUAUGCCACCUAAUACCCCAGGUCCCGAAGCCGUCCAUCAUCGUCCAUCCUCAGCGCAAGCCUCCUCACGAGAAAAAUUAUUCCGUAGCAACGCACGGACACUCUGCUGUACAAGAUAGUUUGGAUUGUUAACACUAACCGCCACACCAAGCCUUUAACACAAAAAAAAAAUCUCUACUCAAACUAUUUGACAGAACUCUAACAAACGUGUCCUCUGACAUGAAGUUCAGAUUAUGACUGCCUCCUGCUACUGCUAUCACCACAACCUGCGGCCACCACCUCCGUCGUCGCCCACCGGAUUGACCACUCCAGACCAAUAAAGACGACUCUACCCACU